GACUCCUCGAAAUACCCGGAUGCAACUAUCAUGGCUGCCAUCAGUGAGAGACCGUAAGGGGGAUCGAGUCAAGAGCUGCCCGGAAAUCGCUCAGAGUUGGGGCUUCAAGGAGGCCUGUCAAAGGACAAAAGAUGAGAUUACUGGGCGGCAGGGUGCCCCAACCGUCCUAGGAACUGCGCUUCCGCGUUUCCUGUUAGUUUGCCGCCAAGUUUUUCUAGAGGAGUCGCUCCUUUUGGCAGGGUGGGGCCUCACUUCUUGCUUGGGCCUUCCUUGUGUGCCGGGUUUGGUUUCCGUUACCCUGCUUAGCCCUGGAAUUGCGUGGGCAAUGCGGGCGCUGGCCGGGGAGGAAGGGGCGGGGCAGAGGCUAGGACGGAGAGAGGUGGGGCGCGGUGGGAAAUUUGGGGUAGCAGAGGUUUGGGGCGCCCCACUAAAUGCAGGCAGCGUCAAGCUGCUGCCCCAUUGGAGUCUGGUUCCUGUGUUUUUGGCUGACAUACACCUUGCCGUGGGGCUCUCAUAUUUGGCCAUAGGGCUCUUCUCUGCUGACCCAACCAUAGUCAGCAUUAGACUUUGAUCCUCGAAUAAUAUCCAGGAUGUGUAUAAUGAAGUGUGCGAUUGGUUUUUUAAAAAUCCCAAACAUAAGCAAACUAAUGUUAGUUUUAAGUUUCAGAAUUAAUAGGGGAACUAUACAUGUUGAGUAUGGGGUUGGUUUUCUUUUAAGGUUUAAAUUUGGAUAACAUGUUAGUGCUUGUGAGAUUUUUUAACAAAAGCACUCUUAAAGUAACUGGUAUGAGAAAAUAUGCUAAUAUUUAAAAUAUUCAGAAAAUUGUUGCACUUUGCUACUGCGCAGUUGUCAUGAUGAAACACGAAGACACCAGAAUUGUACCUCAGGAUAAGACUUUAAUUGCGAGAGGCUUCUGCAAAUACAGUAAUUCUAAAUACAGAUAUAUUCAUUUCAGUUAGUUCUCUUUGCACAGUGGCCUAUAGGUUUUGUCUUCAAGUGAAACAGGAACAAAUGUGAGUUGAUUGGUUAACAUUUCCUAGUAGUUAAAACGACCUUUUAAGUGCUUAACUGUAUAUCGGUUGCAUUCAGAACCUCAGUUGAAACCAUUUUUAUUUGUCUGAAAUAUGUAAUGAACUCAUAAUGUAAAAAUACAUACAGAAUGUUAUAACAAAAAUAUAGAAACUAAUAUGUAAAGCAAGUUGACCCCAUAAAACAUAGUUUUAUAUUUUGAAUAUAAUUUGAAUUUUCACUUAAACUCUCAAAAUUAGAAGAGCUGACCAGAAAUGCUUAAAAAAGAAAUGUAGACAUUUACCCCUUCUCUAAACAUGCCAUUGUUUGAACAGAAAACAAAAUGACAUUGGAAAGCACCUGGGAUUUAUUUUUACAGUUAUACUAUAUGCAAGGUACUGAGUUGAUAAUGGAUAAAAAAAGUGCUUUACAACAUAUAAUCUAUCAAUCAUGAACAGUUAAUACUCUCACUUCUGACCAAAUCAUGUCUCCUUAUGGUACAUUUUAACCUCCCAAACUUGUGGUUCUUGUACAAGUAUUAAUAUACAGGGUUGUAAUCAUAUCUUAUAGAAAACAAAAAUAAAUGAACUGUUUACACAUUUUGAAUAUUUUUUCUUGUUUAUAUGUUGUUUCAGAUUGUAUUUAUAAAUGCAUUUGUACACAGUAGAGUCCUUAGUAACUUGAUAAUCAUAGUUUUUUGUAUGGUUUUUUGCAGGUAGGUCUACUGGGUUCUUGGCACAGUACCAUAUGGACCUGGACAAAGCAUUGUUAAGUUACAGAUUCCAUAUUGGAGUUCCUUUGAUCACUGGAAACAACCAGGAAAAACAAACAAACAAAUGGGCAGGCUUCAGGGUUGGUAGCCUCUGCUCAUCGGCCCGUGAUGUCAUCAAGGACACAGGCUCUUUCCAGCUCUUUCUGCCACCUUUUGUGUUGUGUUGUGUGGGAAGGUGUGUAAUUAUGACGCCGGGGUCAAGCUGGAGCAAGAUUGCUGCAGCAGCCGCGGGCAUCACACCCAGAGCUCUGCCACGGCUGUUCCCACGGUUCGCAGCGGUCUGCACACUGACCUGGCUUCUUACAAGCUUCGCACUCUCCUUUGAGAUGGCCUCUGACACGGCUUCUCAGGUUCCGGCCCUGGCUGUCCAUUGCAUACUGCCCGGGGUCGCCAGAGCCUCUCUUGACUAUGAACGCGUUCUUCAUUCGUCGUUGGCUACUUCUGAGGACUUGCCCUGGGACCGGAAACCCUCACCGGUAGAAUUCUAGACUGAAUAGAUUGAAUUGACAGCUUUAUAAAUUCCAUUCUCUUUGGCAGUUGUGUCUCCUGAGAGGCUUCACAUUAAGGCCCUUUUCUUCUUUCCUCCCACCCACCACAGGUCACUGAUAAGGAUCCCACCCUUUAUCCUGGACUUGCGUAAUUGGCUCAAAGAGUCUAGAUCAAACAUAAAUUUCCCUAUUGUUCCCAUUUUCCUAAGUACCUUUCUUUGAAGGUGUUUUCCUUACCUUUCUCAUUGUCUUAGGACUAGAGUCCUUAUAGUCUUUUUUUUUUAAAGAUUUUUUUAUUUAUUAGCGUGUGAGAGAGAGAGAGAGAGCAGGGGCAGAGGAAGAGGGAGAAUCAGACUCCCCACUGAGCAGGGAGCCUGAGGUGGGGCUCGAUCUCAGGACCCUGGGAUCAUGACCUGAGCAGAAAGCAGACGCUUAACCGACUGAGCCACCCAGGCACCCCCUAGAGUCCUUAUACUAUGUUGUGAUUUCUCUGAGGUUUAUCUUGGUUGUUAUUUGAAACUGGUAUUAAACAAAAAUUUGUUUAAAUUCUGACUCCAUUGAGAGGCAAAAUGAAGCGGCCUCCCCUUUCUCUGCUCUGGUAAGGCUUGCAAAAACAGAUCGCUUUGUUACCUGAACCCUCCUUGGCUCCCUCAACGAUCCUCGUCUCCUGGGUAUUGCUUCAGGUUUCCUGUGGAAGGAGCCUCAGAGAAGCUUUUCUGUUAUUCCUUAAGAACUGUCCCGCCAUCUGCCCUCCCCAGACAAAACCAUUCUGCCUCCAUCUCCACAUAAGUUCGGUGGCCAGAGCACAAACUCCCCAUCAUCCAUGUUUUACCUCAAAGGAGAAUGCAGAUGCUGAUUUUAUUGAGCUUUGUUCCUGUGCCUCAGAUUGGCUGGACUGUUACUCUUUCAACUCUGAGCAACUAGGUUUCUUACGAGGAAGGAUGACCACUUUGAUUUAGCGGGGACUAAAGCCGACUUAAUUGCCAGCAAUCACAUCCUCAACUUCCAACUGAUUAGGUCCAGUUACCUUGAUGGAUCAGGUUUCCCCCAGGGACUUAGAUCAAACCAACUGACUUCAUUUUUGGUGCUGGUAAAUGUGUUUCUUUUGCCAGUUGAAGAAUCCAAGUGGGCAACUUGCUGAUUGGCACCUUCAGAGGAACUGAAUAAGAGGGUAUGCAAGAUUUUUAUUCAGUUUAAAGAAAUCCAGAAGUCCAAGUAUUGAAGGCCUCACUUCCAGGAGCUUUGCAACCGUUGAUGUAGGACAAAAGUUUGGUCUUUCCUGGCUCAAAGAUGCCCCAUGGCAAGGAGCCUACAAAGAGGACUUUGUUUGGGACCACUUCCUUGGGACCACAAGUAAGCUUUUCAUCUCUGUUCUUCUCUUCCAUGUGGAUUUCAUAUGGCUGCAUGGACUCAGGCGAUACUCAGCAUCAGUGCUUCACCCUGUUAAUGGGUCCUGAAGACAUGGGCACCCUUUUUUAAAAUCAAACUUAUUAAUAUUCAUACAACAAAAUACACAAAUACAUACACCUGUAUAACCACCACCACAGUCAAGAUACAGAACAUUAGCAUUACCCUCAAAGGUCUCGGUGUGUCCUUUCCCACUAAAUCCUCCCCCACCCAAGUCCCUGGCCCAAGCAGCCAUUGGAAGUAACACCCAUGAGAUGAGGCUCUAUCAGUGUGAAAUAAACCUGUCUUUCCUAGAGUUAUGGAUAACCCCACUAUCUGAAAGCAUUCCUAUGAAACCUUCAUAAGCCAAAAUGGUGUAAAGCAAAGUAGCAUUUACCCUUAAUUUAUAUGGAAGAUUGUUUGAGUGUUCCCAGACCCAAAAGGAGAUGCAUCUUGCUAACGAAUGCACAAAAUAAAUCAGGAUAAAGAACAUGCUCACAGACACAGUUCAGAGCUAUGGCAGCUUGAUGCUGAGAUGCUGAGUGUAGUUCCUGGGGAGGGAGCUUCGUGGAGCUGCUCUUGCUACUUGGGGUUUGGGCUGCCCCUAUAAUGGCUUGCUGCAAAACAAGCACUGGAUGCUAUUUUUGCCUUACACAUUUCCAUCAAAGUGAAUAUCCUCUCUGGAUUUCUUUUGGUUAGGGAAAACAGGUACUCCUGCGGGUCUUUCCUAAAAGCAAAGCAGUGUAACACAAACUCAAAAAGUGGGGGACAUGUAUAGAAUGUGUUCUCUUUGGGUCUGGCUUCUUUCAUUCAGCAUGUUUUAGAGGUUCAUCCAUGUUGUUUAUAUAUCUGUAGUUUGUCUCUUUUUAUUGCUGAGUAUUAUUCCACUGUGUGGAUAUGCCACAACUUGUCCAUUCACCUAUUGAUGGACAUUUGGAUUGUUUCUCAUUUGGGGCUAGCUUUUGUUUGGACAUAAUGUUUUCAUUUGUCGUGCGUAAAUACCAAGGAGUGGAACGGCUAGGUCCUGUGGUAAGUGGAUCCUUAAAUUUAUAAUAAACUGCCAAACUGUUUUCCCAGAGUGAUUGUGUUAUUUUAGAUUUCCACCAGCAACAUCUGAGAGCUCUUGUUCCUCCACAUUCUCACCAAUAUGUAGUCGUUUUAAUUAUAGCCAUUGUAGUGGGUGUGUAGUCGUAUCUCAUCGUGGUUUUAAUUUGCAUUUCUUUGAUGACUACUGGUGCUGAGGAUCUUUUUUCUGUGCUUAUUGGCCAUACUUGCAUCUUCUUUUGUCAAGUGCACAAAUAUUGAUGAGCAACUGAUUUUACUAGGCAGUGUGACACCUCAUCUCCUGGCCACUUGAACUUCUAGUAUGGGUACCAGAGUUGCACUGUCCCUACCCAGCCACACACCCUCUUGGAGCCGUACCUCCUCCCUUUCUCUAGGUUGGGGAUCAAUA
This is a long non-coding RNA of Mirounga angustirostris (Northern elephant seal), 5108 nucleotides long. RefSeq lists it as uncharacterized. The transcript is spliced from 3 exons. The record is from RefSeq and is a predicted model, not a curated record. Lineage: Eukaryota; Metazoa; Chordata; Mammalia; Carnivora; Phocidae.